This is a long non-coding RNA of Myodes glareolus (Bank vole), 3719 nucleotides long. RefSeq lists it as uncharacterized. Lineage: Eukaryota; Metazoa; Chordata; Mammalia; Rodentia; Cricetidae. The record is from RefSeq and is a predicted model, not a curated record.
CCUCUGCCUCCCCACAUGCUGAGAUUAAAGGUGUGCAAGGUGUGCACCACCUUCACCACACAAGACCUUGCCUUAAAAAAAAAAAAAAGGAAUUUGGCCUGGAGUGAUAACUGGAUAACUCAGCUGUGAGGAGUACUUAACUGGCUUACAGAGGACCCCAGUUCUGUCCCCAGCUCCCAUAUUGGGCAAUCUACAACUACCCAGAACUCCAGCUCCAAGGUCAGAGGACAACUCAGGAGAACCGGUUCUCUUCUUCCUCCACUCCAUGUGUUCCAGAGACUGGACCCCAGUUCACAGGCCUGGCAGCAAGCAUUUUUGCCCCUGGAGCCAUCUCAACGGCCCCAAGAAAUCGUCUUGGUUUUUGUUGGGGAUUUUAUUCAGCAUUUGAUUUUAUUUUACACCAUGGGUUGAACCCAGGGUUUCUCACACCUUAGGUGUGUGCUCUUACAUUGAACCAUAAUACCAAUCAGAAGGCUUGUUUUUUUAAAAGUGAUGAAAAAAAAAAGGAUUAAGAACCUAGCCGUGAAGAUGUUUUUUAGACUAUUUUCAGACUAGGAGAGGGUGGAUAAAGAGAUUCCCCUACAAGGAGGCCUGACAGAGGCCUGUAGUGGACAACUGCUUGAUAUGUCAGGGAACAAGAUCCAUUACUACCUGUUCAGAGAAUGUUUGAAUCUAGAAUGGGGCUUUUCUGACCAUUGGCCCCUCUGGGGAACUGGGGUGACUUCUCCCCAGUUCUAUAUGCUAGCUUCUGAAUCAGGACCCAUCCAGAGGCCAUAACUUUGCAAUUACUAUUCCCCUCCCCUUGUCCCCUGGCUGUGGAGAGUUGGGCUUGCCUGGGCAUGCUUCCCCCGGCACCCCCAGCCCAACCCUUAGGUUUCUUCUUCCCUUUUGUCUUCCCAACUAAAAGCUGGAGGGCAGUGUUCUGCCCAUCUUAAUACCCGUUAGCCAGCACUAUGCUAGGCCCACAGGAGAAUUCCAGGGCGUCCCCCCGACUGAAUGAAUGUUUGGAUGGAUCCGUGGACAGUUAAAUGAAAUGAAAAGACAGCAUUCCCAGAAUUACACGGAUGUAUAAUGGAGAUCCCAGGAUCGGGCUGGGUGUGCAGAGGGGCUCUUCAGAAGACUUCCAUGUCACCUUUCCAGCCCCUUUGCAACUCAAGCUGGGCACAGGCAGAAUAGUCCUCUUCCUCAGGUGGGGGAUGGGAGCCCCACUCAAGGACAGCCUGGGUCUUCCACCAGGAGUGCAGCAUCCCUAGGCAAUGGGCAACCAAUCACCCAAAGGCAUAGAGCCGAUCUAGGAACUCUUGAAAAGCAGAGUUUUUCCUUUAAGUACCUCAAAAUACUUGACAAGAUUUUUAUUUAUUUCUUUACGUCGGAGCUGGGAAUGGAUCCCAUGGCCUCACAUAGGCUAGGCAGGCGCUCUUACCACUAACAGACACCUCCAAAGGAAAGCAUGUUUUAAAAGUCGAGGUGAGAGUCUUAUCUAAAGUGAAUCGCUUCAAGCUGAACAAAUAGCACAUUCAAAAUGUUGUGCAACUACCUCCUCCACUGGUUUCCAAACAUCUCUAUGGCUCCAAAGGAGACAGGUACCAAUCCAUCACUAUCUCUAAAACACCUACGAAGCUUAAGAUCCCUGUCAGGUGUGGGCCGUCAGCGGGACCUCUUUGUUCAGCUAUAGAAAUGUCAUUCCCAUCAGAGUCUCAUUUGCAUGUGUCAUCAAGGAGUCCUGCUCCGGGGAGACAAUUCUCAUGUGCACACAGCGCACAACAACACAACACGCACCCUGCUCUGCGGAGAUGGCCUUAGUGGAGAGGUGGCUGGAAGUGGGUUAGCUUCACAUCUUGGGUGACUUGCACCUCUGGAGUUGGCAAUCGGGCCCCACACCCCAGUCUCUGUGGCCAGAGCCAUGACCAUGUAGAAUAGAUGCCUCACCAUUGGUUGCGCUCUGUUCCCGUGGGACCCACCAGAGCCUGCAAUUUAAAGUCCGUGAGCACUCACUCCUGGCCACCUGCCCCUCCCUCGGCAGGCGGUGCCUGUCCCAAGCACCAGUUCCCAGGGCCUCAGUCUGGCAAGUCGCCCCAGUCGGGUUUGGGAAGUUAAACCAGAUCUUGGGGUGGUGGUGUGAGUCUGGGAACCCCACAAUUCAAGAUGAAAAUCCCUGAAGACCAGCAGGGUUGUCUCUACUCUUGAGCUGGCAGUGGCUUCCUCAGCUCACUGGAAACUUCAGGGAUAUACUAAGUGGAGGUAGCCAGAGAACAGAAAGCCUCCCGGUGGUGGGGGGAGAGGGUGGAGUGGUAACUGGUGGAGACAAUAAGCCUGCAACUGUGUUCCCAAAGACUUCUCUGGCUCGUUUACUUAAAACAACAACAAACAGCUUGGUCAGAAUAGCAAGAUUGUAGAUGCACCUGGCCCACUGGAGGGUUGUGAAAAGCUGUUGACAGCUCACAACACAAGACUUCAAGCAGGAUUUUGAUUGUUCUAAGGGAGUGUUAAAAACCCAGCGGGAGGCUUUUUGCAAAUGAAGCUGCUUUUUGAAAUGGAAAUACUGACAAUACAAUAUAGUACAGCUAUUGAAAACAGCUUUUAAAAUCUUAUCUAGAAAGUACACUCCAAGGAAAAGGCACAGCGCCCCUCUACACCCCAGCCCAGAGAGCCCAUUAAUCCUUCCAUCCCCAAGGGGCUUUUGAGUCUGAUUAACUCUUAGGGGCUGAGGGUGCUGCUCAGAAAUACAGCAUGUGUUUAGCAUGCACACAGUUCUGGGCUCAAUCCCAGCAUCACACACAAAAACAACGAAAGGGAUUUGGCGUGGGUGGGGGGCUUACAACGUAUAGUAUAGAUAGGCACUCCUCCCUCCAAACUCUGUUUAGAUGGGGUGGGGUCCAUUGGGGUCCUUCUGUACAAGUGAUUCCAGGCAGUUUUGUGCUCUUCCCUACAUAUCUGCUGACCUCUGGGGAAGAAGGGCAGGGAGGGCCUGGGAUGGAGGCUAGGCUGGCUUCUCAGCCAAGCCAAGCCUCUCUGUGGGGGCAGGGUGCUCUGCCAGGGAUGGGUGAGGGCAUACAGCUGCAAAGACAAGGCCUACAUGUGACAACAGUGAGCUCACAGAUGGCCAGUUCUGCCAGGGUCCUGAGUUUCACAAGAUGUCAUUUCCUCUGGAGACAGGGCAGAGGCGAUGGGGACCCCACAAAGGGCUGGCUUCAUAAACCGGUCCUGUUGAGGGCCAGAGAGAUCUUGAGAGUUGGGAGGGUGGGUUCAGGAUUCUGCCAGACUAUUCCAACAGAAGCAAAGACCCGGACAGCCGCGGUGCGGCCCACCCAUCUUUUCAUUUCCUGCCAAGCUGGAGCAGAGGAUCUUAGGGACUCAGCUAGCCUCGGAACUCCAGGACAGCAUCUCUUUUCUCCUUCACCUGCCCAUCCCAGUGACUCUCAUUAUCCAACCUUCUACCAGCUUUGUAGGACCCUUCUCCCAUCCUGGGUCUGAACUCUUACGAAGAAAGAAAAUUAUAGAGCUGGGGAGGGCUAGGCAGUCCCUUCCCUAGUAAGCCCCUAAAGACUGGGCUAAAUACUCUCCAUUUCCUGCAGCCAGUGGAGGUUGUGGGGUACUGGACCAGGAGUGCGGCCACCCUUCAAGGCUGUUUGACUGCUAAGGAUGAUGGGAGUUAUUCUGGGUAUACCCCUGGUACAGAUCCCAGGAGGCGUAAUAUGACUUUGUUAUAAAUGUUACAA